AGAAAUUUAGGUUAACUCGACCAAAAGCCUUCAAAGCUUUCAGUAAGUUAAUACACUUAAUUUCUG
RNAcentral lists this transfer RNA (66 nucleotides) under Pygathrix nigripes (Black-shanked douc langur). Its description in RNAcentral is "tRNA-Trp". Lineage: Eukaryota; Metazoa; Chordata; Mammalia; Primates; Cercopithecidae. The record is from RNAcentral.